UUCACAGCAGCGACUCGAACUACGUUGCAUCUGCUCAUGGUCGGUCCCAUGGUCGAUUAGUGUGCACGGUCAAUCAAUCGGUCCGCUGAUCCUCUCUAUCAUGCGUGAUCACUCACAGCAGCAAUCUUUUCUUGUUGAAGGAAAUCCUACGUGAUGCCGGCCCCGGCCCCCUUCGCCCUUGAUGAGUAAGCUUCGUAAGCUAGCUCUUCGUUGGUUGGCCCGCCCCCU
RNAcentral lists this long non-coding RNA (228 nucleotides) under Amborella trichopoda. RNAcentral describes it as "long non-coding RNA (ATRI_LNC000023)". Lineage: Eukaryota; Viridiplantae; Streptophyta; Magnoliopsida; Amborellales; Amborellaceae. The record is from RNAcentral.